Cyprinus carpio carpio is the source of this 586-nucleotide long non-coding RNA. Lineage: Eukaryota; Metazoa; Chordata; Actinopteri; Cypriniformes; Cyprinidae. The record is from Ensembl.
CUCAGGUCCCAUAACCUGUCCACUUCUACAGCCUUGAGAUGAGAAAUUGUGACAUAGCUGUGAAACUGGGAACCAGUGAGAACAGCGUCAGGUUUGAGAAAACAAGAUGUCUCGGUGCAUCCCUUUGGAAUACCCCCUGUCGUGAAAUUCCUCGAGAUAUCAAACCAAGACAGACAAGUGAGACAAGAGCGGCAAUAAUCUUUAAAAACUGGUGACCAAACAUCACCCAUCACCAAAAAAGCAACAUCUUCAUCUGUAGAAAUAAAAACAGCAGGUUUCAGAUCCAAUCUUCCAGUGGAGUCGUUCCUGUCAUUUCGUGGUCCAGUUGCUGCACCACAAACUCCUGCUUUCCUUUAAUCAAGAUUUGGCAGAAUGUAGACUGGAGCAUGAGACAAGCAGAGCAGUCACACUGCUUCUUCACAAAAGGCACAGAGCUACCCCCACCUCCAACCGCCGUAGCCAUGGAAAUGCCACCCAAUCCAGAGCCUAGGAAAUGCAGGAAGGGCGGGAAAUGGCUUAGAGCCCUCCUUCCAACUUUCUCUCAAAUGCACAGCCAGGCACAAAUACACACAGCAUGAUUCAAAUA